AAGUGUUCUGGAAGCUGUUGGGGCUACGGGUUCUGGUCUUCACCCAUCGUCGCCUAGGAUUCGUGCUGGAAGCUGUUGGGGCUAGGUGUUUCGACCUCGCCCACCUGCUGCUGUGCUGGAAGAUAUAUUGUGUUUGCAAAUUGGGCUUGCAAUGUAUUCAGUGAAUUGUAUCAUUGCAGUAACUGAAUAGGAAGCACACAAGUUUUAGCAAUUUGUGCAAGUAGACAGCAAAACAAAGAGAAGUCAUUGCUGAAUUCUACAGAGUACAU
RNAcentral lists this long non-coding RNA (269 nucleotides) under Sorghum bicolor (sorghum). RNAcentral's name for it is "long non-coding RNA (SBIC_LNC018779)". Lineage: Eukaryota; Viridiplantae; Streptophyta; Magnoliopsida; Poales; Poaceae. The record is from RNAcentral.